AUGAAGAAUAAUAAGGCUCCUGGCCCGGAUGGUUUCCCGGCCGAGUUUUACAAGAAAUGUUGGCACAUUAUUAAAGGAGAUCUAUUGCCUUUGUUCAAUGAUCUUUUCGCUGGUCAGCUUCACCUUUUUAAGCUGAAUUUUGGGACGAUAACACUUCUUCUCAAGAAGACAGAGGCAGUGCGGAUUGAGCAAUUUCGUCCAAUCUAUCUUCUUAAUGUGAGUUUCAAAAUUUUUACCAAGGUCGGAACGAAUAGGCUCACACAGAUUGCGCAUACUGUGGUGCAGCCUACUCAAUCUGCUUUCAUGCCGGAUAGGAACAUUCUUGAAGGGGUGGUGGUCCUGCAUGAAACGCUCCAUGAAAUUCACUCAAAAAAACUGGAUGGAGUGGUUUUUAAGGUGGAUUUCGAGAAGGCGUACGAUAAAGUCAAAUGGCUCUUUCUACAACAAGCCUUACAUAUGAAGGGUUUUGACGAAGCUUGGAGGCGCCAAGUUGAAUCUUUCACGCAAAAAGGAGUGUUGGAAUUAAAGUGA
RNAcentral lists this ribosomal RNA (531 nucleotides) under Triticum aestivum (bread wheat). RNAcentral describes it as "partial small subunit ribosomal RNA". The record is from RNAcentral. Lineage: Eukaryota; Viridiplantae; Streptophyta; Magnoliopsida; Poales; Poaceae.